Molecule: ribosomal RNA, 253 nt
Filed under: uncultured bacterium
Lineage: Bacteria
Description: partial 16S ribosomal RNA
Rfam family: Bacterial small subunit ribosomal RNA
Source: RNAcentral
UACGAGGGGGGCGAGCGUUGUUCGGAAUUAUUGGGCGUAAAGGGUGCGUAGGCGGUCGGGUAAGUCUGAUGUGAAAUCUCACAGCUUAACUGUGAAACUGCAUUGGAUACUAUCCGGCUCGAGGAAUGGAGGGGAGACUGGAAUACUUGGUGUAGCAGUGAAAUGCGUAGAUAUCAAGUGGAACACCAGUGGCGAAGGCGAGUCUCUGGACAUUUCCUGACGCUGAGGCACGAGAGCCAGGGGAGCAAACGGG